UAAACACAGAUCACACGCGGAAUAACUCCGAGGAGACGCGUCGCGGUGAUUAUCAAAUGUAUAAUAAUCAUACUACAAGUUAUGGAUGACCACCCUCGCCGUGGAGAGGACAGGACGCGCAUCUGGUCGUGUACAAGCUUCGGGCAGCGGAUAAGCGCUGAUAAUGCGUCAAAACAACAGAAGGGAGGCUGGAAUAUGAAAUAUUACAGAUGAUUGAGACAGGUAAGA
Cyprinus carpio (common carp) is the source of this 228-nucleotide long non-coding RNA. RefSeq lists it as uncharacterized. The record is from RefSeq and is a predicted model, not a curated record. The transcript is spliced from 2 exons. NCBI's taxonomy places the organism in Eukaryota, Metazoa, Chordata, Actinopteri, Cypriniformes, Cyprinidae.